RNAcentral lists this ribosomal RNA (589 nucleotides) under uncultured fungus. RNAcentral describes it as "eukaryotic LSU rRNA". The stretch from base 225 to 378 matches the Rfam family "5.8S ribosomal RNA". The record is from RNAcentral. Lineage: Eukaryota; Fungi.
CUUGGUCAUUUAGAGGAAGUAAAAGUCGUAACAAGGUCUCCGUAGGUGAACCUGCGGAGGGAUCAUUACAAGUGACCCCGGUCUAACCACCGGGAUGUUCAUAACCCUUUGUUGUCCGACUCUGUUGCCUCCGGGGCGACCCUGCCUUCGGGCGGGGGCUCCGGGUGGACACUUCAAACUCUUGCGUAACUUUGCAGUCUGAGUAAACUUAAUUAAUAAAUUAAAACUUUUAACAACGGAUCUCUUGGUUCUGGCAUCGAUGAAGAACGCAGCGAAAUGCGAUAAGUAAUGUGAAUUGUAGAAUUCAGUGAAUCAUCGAAUCUUUGAACGCACAUUGCGCCCCCUGGUAUUUCGGGGGGCAUGCCUGUUCGAGCGUCAUUUCACCACUCAAGCCUCGCUUGGUAUUGGGCAACGCGGUCCGCCGCGUGCCUCAAAUCGACCGGCUGGGUCUUCUGUCCCCUAAGCGUUGUGGAAACUAUUCGCUAAAGGGUGUUCGGGAGGCUACGCCGUAAAACAACCCCAUUUCUAAGGUUGACCUCGGAUCAGGUAGGGAUACCCGCUGAACUUAAGCAUAUCAAUAAGCGGAGGA